UUCCAUCUCACCCAAUCCAGAAAUUGCAGUUUUUGGCUGUGUACAUUCCAGAACUAUCCAUGCGACUGUGCGGGUGCCAAUCGACCUCGGAAUGAUGAUCACGAAAAGACUUAUUCUAAAGGAAUGGAAGUCCGCUGCUCCUCCCUCCUUCAGCGUCUGGCUCAAUGACAUGUUAUCAGUCAUUCAGCUGGAAAACGUUCGAUACCUGCACACCUGCAGCAAAUGUUUUCUUAAAAUCCUGGACUCCGUUUUUUACUCAUCUUGAGAAAGCUCACGUUGUAUAAACAUGUACCAUGGCACUGCAAUUUCCCUGUUUAUUACAUAUUCAUGACAUUUAAUUCAUUAGGGAUACUGGUAGUUUCUAAUUUUAAUGUUUUCUUUCUUUUUUCUUUUGUCUUUCCCUAUUGAUUAUUAUUAUUAUUGUGCUAUUUCUUGCCCUAUCAUCUCAGCGCCUGAGCUGUAUUUGUUUGUUGAUGGGGUUUUCUAUGCUGAAAAAAUUAAAAUAUUGAUAUAAAACAAACAAACAAAUUGUCCAUUUUUUUUUGUGUCUCUUUUUCAGAUUUUACUGCUAUUCAGCAAGUAGUUGGCGAGUGUUUACAGACAAGUCAACAUUUUUCAUAUAAACUAUAGGCAACCACAGCAAUCUGCAUGUGACCAAGCAAAUGCAGGGUAGUUUUCAUUGUAGCAUCAUAUACCUCUUUGCAACCAGUUUUGCCUAGCAACAGUAAGCAAUCUACCACAACCACUCAGGAACUAGCAGGGGAAUAUAAUUUCUCCCUAGCAACCGCUGGUUACCAGGGAAAUAAUGACUCUGGGACCUGGGAUUUAGCAGUCAAUUGCACAGCAAUUGCUUGCAACCUUCAGCAACCAGCUGGGGAACACUCUUUUCCCCCCAUCAACUGGUUGUUAGCAAGUGACUGAGGUGUUAGUGAAAACUACAUGUGUGAUAAAACAAAAGUGUGAUCUAUUUGUGUACAUGGACAGAAAUGUAGCUUUUUCUUGUGACAGUCAGGUUUACCAUAAAAAUAAAGUUUUGACUGGAAGUUUUUUUUUGUUUUGUUUUUUUGACGUACAAGCACCACUUUGUUUUUUUCUUGGUUUGUAAGGGUGUGCCACCCAGGCAGGCCAGAGAAAGUUUUACUAGUUACUCACACCGUGAAGUUUUCCUGACAGGAGUAGCAAUGAAAAUGCAAGAAGUAGAGGUGGUGAAGAUGGAUGAGUUUAAAUACCUGGGGUCAACCAUCCAAAGCAACAGAAAGUGCAUAAGAGAGGUGAAGAAGAGAGUGCAGGCAGGGUGGUGUGGGUGGAGCUGAAUGUCAGGGGUGAUUUGUGACAGAAGGAUAGCAGCAAGACUAGAAAGAAGGUUUACAAGAUGGUAGUGUGACCUGCUGUGAUGUAUAGUUGGAGACAGUGUCACUAAUAAAAAGACAAGAGGCUAAGCUGGAGGUGGCAG
Molecule: long non-coding RNA, 1453 nt
Organism: Astatotilapia calliptera (eastern happy)
Lineage: Eukaryota; Metazoa; Chordata; Actinopteri; Cichliformes; Cichlidae
Source: Ensembl